CCUACGGGAGGCAGCAGUGGGGAAUAUUGGGCAAUGGGCGCAAGCCUGACCCAGCAACGCCGCGUGAAGGAAGAAGGCUUUCGGGUUGUAAACUUCUUUUUUCAGGGACGACGCAAGUGACGGUACCUGACUAAUAAUCCACGGCUAACUACGUGCCAGCAGCAGCGGUAAUACGUAGGUGGCAAGCGUUAUCCGGAUUUACUGGGUGUAAAGGGCGAGUAGGGGGGGAAGCAAGUCAGAUGUGAAAGCCACGGGCUCAACCUUGUGACUGCAUUUGAAACUGUUUUUCUUGAGUACUGGAGAGGCAAUCGGAAUUCGGUGUGUAGCGGUGAAAUGCGUAGAUAUACGGAGGAACACCAGUGGCGAAGGCGGAUUGCUGGACAGUAACUGACGCUGAGGCGCGAAAGCGUGGGGAGCAAACAGGAUUAGAUACCCUGGUAGUC
Molecule: ribosomal RNA, 443 nt
Filed under: uncultured bacterium
Lineage: Bacteria
Description: partial 16S ribosomal RNA
Rfam family: Bacterial small subunit ribosomal RNA
Source: RNAcentral